UUAUCCUCUUUUUGCUCUCUGUGUUCUUCGUGCAUCAUGUGCUUUGGGCCUCCAAAUUUCUUAUGACGCAUAUUUCUUCUUACACUAGUAAGUAUUUUCUUCUCUUUUCUUCUUUUUGGCUCUCCUUUCACUAUAUUACCAUAUUCUCACCUUGGAUUCCACUAAGACCCUUUCUCAAAAUCCUUCUAUCGAAUUAGUUAGUGAGGACGAACCUACUUCUCAGCAUGAGGAAGUGGAUAGUCCUAAUUACUCCUCAAAGGAAGAUGAAAAUGACCAUCACCUCUAUCCUUCAAAAAUGAACUUAAGUCGCCUAGGGUACAUCUAAAGUGGAUAUAGAAUUCCUAGCAUCUAUACCUUAAAAGAGUGCUUGGCCGACUUUCUGGGUAAUAUUACACCAGAGCCUGGUCAUAUGCUCUAUGACGAUCACCUUAAGGUUGGCCUUCCCUUACCGCUAGAUCUAUUCAUUAAGUUGGUAAUCCAGUUCAUGAAUGUCGUCAUUGCUCAACUGCAUUCUAAUUCUAUCCGUAUACUUGUAGAGUUUAGACAGCUAUAUAAAAAUUAUAAGAUCAUACCUUCCUUAUACUUCUUUUUUUAACUUCUAAGCUCGGACUGGAAAUAAGAUAUUGGACGAGCUUAUGUCUUCUGUACAUAAUUGUCGUGGACCAUUUUUUCUUGGUCGCUCAUUCCACCAAGUUCACUGAUCUCCUAAUGAGAUGACACGUUCCUCCCCUCAGAAAGAUCAAACUUACCUUGAGGGACGACAGAAUGAAUAGAAAGGUUUUAUUGAGUGUUAAGACGAAACUAGUUCCUCUUCCUGUUUCUCUUUUGAUUUCUCAAUUCUUGGACAAGCUAGAUGUUGGCGAGCAAGGGGUUAAGUUAGGUGUCAGCUCUUCAGUAAUUGAUUUGAAGCAGCUGAAGAGAGCCAAAGCUAGCAAAGGCAAAAGAGUCGUUGGCUCAUCCUCUGCUCUUCCUAAUUUAGCUACCAAAGUGCUUCUAGAGAUAAUAUGACUCUACUCGUGAUUUCAGCACCGGGUCUACCACAGGUGCCCGAGCAAAACAUUGCUCUCCAUCUCCCUCAUCCUUUGGGAAGCAUCCUCGUCUGGUUGAAUCAUAAUAUAAAAUGAGUCAAAUCAAUAAGCUAUAAAGAGACAAUCAAGGAAGUCAUCAAGGCUAAGUUGGGUGAUGUCAAUAUAAGCUUCCUUAAUGACCUACACAUUGAGGAGAGCGGGAAUAAAGCUCAUGAGGAAGUAGCUGAAAAUCAAGCUCUCCAAGGAGUUACAGAUGGUGAACAAGUCGAGGUCUCCAGUGGCAAAUUAGCUAGAAGUUUCUAAUGUAAUUCCUCCUUUAGGAGAUGACCUCACUAUAGAGGACGACCUCAAUGAACCUCGGGGUAUUAUUGAAGAUGAGCCUUGAGCUUUUAGGACUUCGUAAUUUUCUCUUUUAUCAAUGAAGUUCUUCUCUUUUUCUCCAUUCUUCUCUACCUAUUUUUAACUAACUGUC
This is a long non-coding RNA of Ricinus communis (castor bean), 1500 nucleotides long. RefSeq lists it as uncharacterized. The record is from RefSeq and is a predicted model, not a curated record. The transcript is spliced from 3 exons. NCBI's taxonomy places the organism in Eukaryota, Viridiplantae, Streptophyta, Magnoliopsida, Malpighiales, Euphorbiaceae.